UAGAAUCUCUGCUUCUAUUUUCUUAUGUUUAUCAUGCCACUUGAUUUUGUUUGUUUGGAUGCAUGUUUGUAGACCAGAUGGUGACCCGUGAAGGGGUCAGAUUUGGUAAUUUUGAAGUUUGGUUUCAGUGUGUCCUUCCCUUGUGCACCCUGUUUCUUUGCCAUAUUGGUGCUUGCACUGCAAUGUGGAUAUCCCCAAGAACUGGCAAGGGAGUUAUGCAGUUUUAUCUGGC
RNAcentral lists this long non-coding RNA (232 nucleotides) under Solanum tuberosum (potato). RNAcentral describes it as "long non-coding RNA (STUB_LNC007131)". The record is from RNAcentral. Lineage: Eukaryota; Viridiplantae; Streptophyta; Magnoliopsida; Solanales; Solanaceae.